RNAcentral lists this unclassified non-coding RNA (617 nucleotides) under Asterostroma sp. KO-2014. RNAcentral describes it as "partial contains ITS1, 5.8S rRNA and ITS2". The stretch from base 216 to 369 matches the Rfam family "5.8S ribosomal RNA". Lineage: Eukaryota; Fungi; Basidiomycota; Agaricomycetes; Russulales; Lachnocladiaceae. The record is from RNAcentral.
UCCGUAGGUGAACCUGCGGAAGGAUCAUUACAGAUAUAUAUAAUAUAUAUAUAUAUAUAUAUCCAUCCAAUCUCUCUUUGUGAACUUUUGGUUGUAAAGUGAGUAAGUGCCCCUAUUUAAUUAGGGGCUUUUGAAAGCUUGCAAUCCAAAUCUUUUAUAUUAUACACUAUAAACAUUACAAUGAAUGAAUCAUAAUAACAAUAUAUAUAAUAUACAACUUUCAGCAACGGAUCUCUUGGCUCUCGCAUCGAUGAAGAACGCAGCGAAAUGCGAUAAGUAAUGUGAAUUGCAGAAUUCAGUGAAUCAUCGAAUCUUUGAAUGCACCUUGCACCUCUUGGUAUUCUGAGAGGUACACCUGUUUGAGUAUCAUUAAUUCUAUCCACUCUUAGUUAAAAGGGUUGGGACUUGGGAGAUUUACUUGCAGAGUUGAAUAUCUGCUCUCCUUGAAUGUAUUAGCAGGGAUUUUAUUAGUCCUUGGAUUGAUUGUGAUAAUUAAAACAUCUCUUCAAAUCCUUGGGUCUAAGUUGUUCAUCUGCUUCAAACAGUCUUUACUUAUUAGUAGACAAAGUUUCUAAAAGACCAUGAUCUCAAAUCAGGUGGGACUACCCGCUGAACUU